AAUCAUUAAGUUACAAACAUUUGUUUUGAAAACAUUAUAGGAGCCCUAGCUCAAUGAUUA
This 60-nucleotide transfer RNA is filed under the name Eulimnogammarus cyaneus. RNAcentral's name for it is "tRNA-Ser". The record is from RNAcentral. Lineage: Eukaryota; Metazoa; Arthropoda; Malacostraca; Amphipoda; Eulimnogammaridae.